UACGUAGGGUGCGAGCGUUGUCCGGAAUUACUGGGUGUAAAGGGUGCGCAGGCGGGCUUGUGCGUCGGAGGUUAAAGAUCUCGGCUUAACCGAGAAAGUGCCUUCGAAACGGCAGGUCUUGAAUGUGAGAGAGGAUGAUAGAAUUCCUGGUGUAGCGGUGAAAUGCGUAGAUAUCAGGAGGAAUACCGGUGGCGAAGGCGGUCAUCUGGCUCACAAUUGACGCUCAGGCACGAAAGCGUGGGUAGCGAACAGG
RNAcentral lists this ribosomal RNA (253 nucleotides) under uncultured bacterium. Its description in RNAcentral is "partial 16S ribosomal RNA". It matches the Rfam family "Bacterial small subunit ribosomal RNA", at positions 524 to 776 of the family's 1533-position model. The record is from RNAcentral.